AGAGUUUGAUCAUGGCUCAGGACGAACGCUGGCGGCGCGCCUAAUACAUGCAAGUCGAGCGAGCUUGCCUAGAUGAUUUUAGUGCUUGCACUAAAUGAAACUAGAUACAAGCGAGCGGCGGACGGGUGAGUAACACGUGGGUAACCUACCCAAGAGACUGGGAUAACACCUGGAAACAGAUGCUAAUACCGGAUAACAACACUAGACGCAUGUCUAGAGUUUGAAAGAUGGUUCUGCUAUCACUCUUGGAUGGACCUGCGGUGCAUUAGCUAGUUGGUAAGGUAACGGCUUACCAAGGCAAUGAUGCAUAGCCGAGUUGAGAGACUGAUCGGCCACAUUGGGACUGAGACACGGCCCAAACUCCUACGGGAGGCAGCAGUAGGGAAUCUUCCACAAUGGACGAAAGUCUGAUGGAGCAACGCCGCGUGAGUGAAGAAGGGUUUCGGCUCGUAAAGCUCUGUUGGUAGUGAAGAAAGAUAGAGGUAGUAACUGGCCUUUAUUUGACGGUAAUUACUUAGAAAGUCACGGCUAACUACGUGCCAGCAGCCGCGGUAAUACGUAGGUGGCAAGCGUUGUCCGGAUUUAUUGGGCGUAAAGCGAGUGCAGGCGGUUCAAUAAGUCUGAUGUGAAAGCCUUCGGCUCAACCGGAGAAUUGCAUCAGAAACUGUUGAACUUGAGUGCAGAAGAGGAGAGUGGAACUCCAUGUGUAGCGGUGGAAUGCGUAGAUAUAUGGAAGAACACCAGUGGCGAAGGCGGCUCUCUGGUCUGCAACUGACGCUGAGGCUCGAAAGCAUGGGUAGCGAACAGGAUUAGAUACCCUGGUAGUCCAUGCCGUAAACGAUGAGUGCUAAGUGUUGGGAGGUUUCCGCCUCUCAGUGCUGCAGCUAACGCAUUAA
This 896-nucleotide ribosomal RNA is filed under the name uncultured bacterium. Its description in RNAcentral is "bacterial SSU rRNA". It matches the Rfam family "Bacterial small subunit ribosomal RNA", at positions 8 to 863 of the family's 1533-position model. The record is from RNAcentral.